Molecule: ribosomal RNA, 428 nt
Filed under: Bacillota bacterium
Lineage: Bacteria; Bacillati; Bacillota
Description: Firmicutes bacterium partial 16S ribosomal RNA
Rfam family: Bacterial small subunit ribosomal RNA
Source: RNAcentral
UGGGGAAUUUUGGACAAUGGGGGCAACCCUGAUCCAGCAAUGCCGCGUGUGUGAAGAAGGCCUUCGGGUUGUAAAGCACUUUUGUCCGGGAAGAAAUCGCACCUGAUAAUACCGGGUGUGGAUGACGGUACCGGAAGAAUAAGGACCGGCUAACUACGUGCCAGCAGCCGCGGUAAUACGUAGGGUCCAAGCGUUAAUCGGAAUUACUGGGCGUAAAGCGUGCGCAGGCGGUUGUGCAAGACCGAUGUGAAAUCCCCGGGCUUAACCUGGGAAUUGCAUUGGUGACUGCACGGCUAGAGUGUGUCAGAGGGGGGUAGAAUUCCACGUGUAGCAGUGAAAUGCGUAGAGAUGUGGAGGAAUACCGAUGGCGAAGGCAGCCCCCUGGGAUAACACUGACGCUCAUGCACGAAAGCGUGGGGAGCAAACAG